UCUCACGAAGACUUUAACCUGAGCCAGACCGACAACAAGAGACCACAUCCCACCAUACAGGACCGUAAGACACCGCUGGUAAAUAUAAUCAGGUAUCUGACCCCCUGGUGGGGAUCAGGUCUUGGUAUCGGCCGAUACGCAAGCUCGGGACUUCAGAAUCGGUAUCUAGAAGCAAAAGAUGGUGUCGGACCCUCUCUAGUGUUAGGCAGGACUUUCAGUCUAAAAGCCGUUCAGGUCCAGCUACGGGGUCCCUCUGCAACGCCAAGUGGUCUCGUGGUGGCGAGGACCC
Molecule: long non-coding RNA, 289 nt
Organism: Etheostoma cragini (Arkansas darter)
Lineage: Eukaryota; Metazoa; Chordata; Actinopteri; Perciformes; Percidae
Exons: 2
Source: RefSeq, a predicted model, not a curated record